RNAcentral lists this ribosomal RNA (730 nucleotides) under Escherichia coli. RNAcentral's name for it is "partial 23S ribosomal RNA". It matches the Rfam family "Bacterial large subunit ribosomal RNA", at positions 612 to 1341 of the family's 2925-position model. Lineage: Bacteria; Pseudomonadati; Pseudomonadota; Gammaproteobacteria; Enterobacterales; Enterobacteriaceae. The record is from RNAcentral.
AUAAUGGGUCAGCGACUUAUAUUCUGUAGCAAGGUUAACCGAAUAGGGGAGCCGAAGGGAAACCGAGUCUUAACUGGGCGUUAAGUUGCAGGGUAUAGACCCGAAACCCGGUGAUCUAGCCAUGGGCAGGUUGAAGGUUGGGUAACACUAACUGGAGGACCGAACCGACUAAUGUUGAAAAAUUAGCGGAUGACUUGUGGCUGGGGGUGAAAGGCCAAUCAAACCGGGAGAUAGCUGGUUCUCCCCGAAAGCUAUUUAGGUAGCGCCUCGUGAAUUCAUCUCCGGGGGUAGAGCACUGUUUCGGCAAGGGGGUCAUCCCGACUUACCAACCCGAUGCAAACUGCGAAUACCGGAGAAUGUUAUCACGGGAGACACACGGCGGGUGCUAACGUCCGUCGUGAAGAGGGAAACAACCCAGACCGCCAGCUAAGGUCCCAAAGUCAUGGUUAAGUGGGAAACGAUGUGGGAAGGCCCAGACAGCCAGGAUGUUGGCUUAGAAGCAGCCAUCAUUUAAAGAAAGCGUAAUAGCUCACUGGUCGAGUCGGCCUGCGCGGAAGAUGUAACGGGGCUAAACCAUGCACCGAAGCUGCGGCAGCGACGCUUAUGCGUUGUUGGGUAGGGGAGCGUUCUGUAAGCCUGCGAAGGUGUGCUGUGAGGCAUGCUGGAGGUAUCAGAAGUGCGAAUGCUGACAUAAGUAACGAUAAAGCGGGUGAAAAGCCCGCUCGCCGGA